This 65-nucleotide transfer RNA is filed under the name Mantophryne lateralis (Victoria Archipelago frog). Its description in RNAcentral is "tRNA-Trp". Lineage: Eukaryota; Metazoa; Chordata; Amphibia; Anura; Microhylidae. The record is from RNAcentral.
AAACUUAGGUUAAUUAGACCAAGGGCCUUCAAAGCCCUAAAUAGAAGGGAAGCCCCUCUAGUUUC